This 252-nucleotide ribosomal RNA is filed under the name uncultured bacterium. Its description in RNAcentral is "partial 16S ribosomal RNA". It matches the Rfam family "Bacterial small subunit ribosomal RNA", at positions 524 to 776 of the family's 1533-position model. The record is from RNAcentral.
UACGGAGGAUGCGAGCGUUAUCCGGAUUUAUUGGGUUUAAAGGGUGCGUAGGCGGGAUGCCGAGUCAGCGGUAAAAAUGCGGUGCUCAACGCCGUCGAGCCGUUGAAACUGGCGUUCUUGAGUGGGCGAGAAGUAUGCGGAAUGCGUGGUGUAGCGGUGAAAUGCAUAGAUAUCACGCAGAACUCCGAUUGCGAAGGCAGCAUACCGGCGCCCUACUGACGCUGAGGCACGAAAGCGUGGGUAUCGAACAGG